GGGUUGUGAGGUUAAGCGACUAAGCGUACACGGUGGAUGCCCUGGCAGUCAGAGGCGAUGAAGGACGUGCUAAUCUGCGAUAAGCGCCGGUAAGGUGAUAUGAACCGUUAUAACCGGCGAUUUCCGAAUGGGGAAACCCAGUGUGACUCGUCACACUAUCAUUAACUGAAUCCAUAGGUUAAUGAGGCGAACCGGGGGAACUGAAACAUCUAAGUACCCCGAGGAAAAGAAAUCAACCGAGAUUCCCCCAGUAGCGGCGAGCGAACGGGGAGGAGCCCAGAGCCUGAAUCAGCAUGUGUGUUAGUGGAAGCGUCUGGAAAGGCGCGCGAUACAGGGUGACAGCCCCGUACACAAAAGCGCAUGUGCUGUGAGCUCGAUGAGUAGGGUGGGACACGUGGUAUCCUGUCUGAAUAUGGGGGGACCAUCCUCCAAGGCUAAAUACUCCUGACUGACCGAUAGUGAACCAGUACCGUGAGGGAAAGGCGAAAAGAACCCCGGCGAGGGGAGUGAAAAAGAACCUGAAACCGUGUACGUACAAGCAGUGGGAGCACAGGUUUACC
Molecule: ribosomal RNA, 560 nt
Filed under: Salmonella enterica
Lineage: Bacteria; Pseudomonadati; Pseudomonadota; Gammaproteobacteria; Enterobacterales; Enterobacteriaceae
Description: partial 23S ribosomal RNA
Rfam family: Bacterial large subunit ribosomal RNA
Source: RNAcentral